Molecule: ribosomal RNA, 1542 nt
Filed under: Triticum aestivum (bread wheat)
Lineage: Eukaryota; Viridiplantae; Streptophyta; Magnoliopsida; Poales; Poaceae
Description: partial small subunit ribosomal RNA
Source: RNAcentral
AUGCCAAGACCAAGACUUGGGAAUAGCAUAUCAUGGACCAUAUAUUGUGCCUGUCUCUGGUCAUUCCAUUGUCGUUCCCUUACAGUAGCUGUUCUCCCUCUUCCAACCAAUAUGGCUGCUAAGCUUGGGCAUCUAGCCCAAGGAGCUGCAUCGGUACUUUGCCUGUUGAUUUUCUUUGUAGAGCCGUCUGAUUCCCGUGCUCAGGCGAGGAUAUCAGGUGGGAAUGGAACCUGCAUCAGCAGGGAGCGGGAUGCGCUUCUGUCCUUCAAGGCGGGCCUUCUGGACCCUGCUGGCCGUCUCUCCUCAUGGCAUGGUGAAGAUUGCUGUCAGUGGGCGGGAGUCCGGUGCAGCAGCAGAACAGGCCAUGUCGUAAAGCUCGACCUCCGCAACAACUACGUAGUAAGUGCCUUCCAAGGUUUGUACACCAUGCACUACUACAAGUCCAACAGCCUGAGCUUGUCGAGAAAUGAGAUGAGCUCUUCUUUGGCUGCUUUGCAACAGUUGAGGUAUCUUGACAUGAGCUACAAUGACUUCAACCACAUAAGCAUUCCUGCGUUCAUGGGCUCCCUACAGAAGCUAAGGUAUCUCAACCUCUCGUCGUCAGGUUUCGGUGGGAGAAUACCUUCCCAACUCGGUAAUCUCUCAAAUCUGCAAUAUCUUGAUAUUAGUGGGGAUUAUUACAAUGUUCUGUACACGUUGGACCUCUCAUGGUUGUCACAUCUAUCACUGUUGAGCUAUCUUGACUUGACCGAAGUGGACCUCCGUGCUGUGCGGGGUUGGGUUCACAUGGUUAACGGGCUUUCUUCUCUAAAAGUGCUUCGCUUAGUAGAUUGUGGCCUUACCAGCAUAGUGUCUGCUACUUCAAAAUCAAAUCUCACACAUCUCCAAGUCCUUGAUCUAUCAUCCAACUCAUUUGACGCAACACUAGAGCAUAACUGGUUCUUCUGGGAUCUCACAAGCCUGAAGGAGCUUCACCUCUCCCGUUGUGAGUGGCAUGGACCUAUUCCUGAACAAUUGGCAAACAUGACAUCCCUUGAAGUAAUAGAUUUUAGUGCAAAUGAUCUUGUGGGUUUGAUACCGAACAACUUAGAAAAUUUGUGCAGUUUGAAAGUGCUGAAUUUUGAUGAUAACAACAUUGAUGCGAGUAUUGGGGAGUUCAUGGAUCGGUUGCCAUGGUGCUCAUGGAGUACAUUACAGAAGUUGUCAAUGAGGAAUACGACUAUGACCGGAAACCUACCGCUAGAAGUUGGAGCACUUGGUAACUUGACAUUGUUGAGUCUCGGCAAUAAUAAACUCGAUGGUGUGCUCGUGAAGGAACAUUUUUCAGGCUUAUUGAAUUUAGAGUAUCUGGACUUGUCGGACAACUCCUUGAAAAUGGAUAUUGAACCAAAUUGGAUUCCUCCGUUUAGACUAAAGCACAUAAAUUUAGAGUCAUGCACAGUAGGCCCCCGUUUUCCAGAGUGGCUUAGAUGGCAAACUCGCAUUGAUUAUCUUCUUCUUGGAAAUACAAGUUUGGAUGAUGUUAUUCCUGAUUGGUUUUGA